ACAUCGCUCAUAAAUUCAUAAUUGUCCAUUUUUGCACAAAAGCUUGACACUUUAUUUGGAAAUAUGAAUAUAGAACACAACUCUGUUUCUCUGUUAUGUUUUGUAGAAGAGCUGUAUGUGGGACCCGUAGGUCGGCCUGGAACCAAAGAUCUGUUCUACCCAACUCAAUACUCACAGUCUUUCCCCUUUCAGAGUGUAGCGUGUCCCUAGAAACAACAGUGGUCGUACUGGCGUAACCCGCUAUACUGAGUGUCGUUAUCGUAUCGGUAUCGUAAUGAACCAAUGGAUAACGACCGAAUUCCCACUGUACGAUCAUCUCUCAUCGCACUUCACACACAUCGACAUGUUUCCAAGUGCCUUUAAUUGUAUAACCCAUAACAGAUCUAUCAAAGAAUGAUCAUGACAUGUCAUAAAAUACAUCGGUACGAAUGUACGAUUUUGUUUUCUGCUCUAAUUAUGUUGAAUCACUGUCUCGUGAACAAGUCAUCAGCACCACCAUUUAAAUCAAGUGACACCAGAUCAACAUGGAGCCACAAGGAUGCCACCAUUAGUGCCAAUAAGUGUUACAGAUAACUCCAUAAGCUUGGGUCUGGUCCAUACGUAUUUAAAGUAAGCGGUUAGCUUUGACAUCACAUUGGUUCUUUGUGCCCACCAUCUGGUGAACGACCUCGCUUCUUACAAAUAAAAGUUAUUUAGGAUAUUGGAUAGAACUAAUGAGUUGUUUCCGAUCCCAUUACCAUCACGCGAGAGACCAGUACAUUGAUUGCAGGCGAUAUCGUAGCUAAGAAUCACAACGGCUUAUUCUGUUAACACCAGCCUCAAAAGCAUUGACCAUUUCUCCUGACACACUGGCUAUAGCAUCAGCAGCCUUUCGUUUUUCAGCCCCAGGUAAUAACCACUCAAAUUUAGUUUAUGUUAUCCCGUAGAAAACUACAUCUAUGCAAUACGAACAAUCCAAAAGAAACCAAUAAUUUUUAUUAUCUACUAAAUCUAACCACUCUUCAUAUAGGAUCUGAAACAAAAAAAAGUUAAUAUUACCUUCAGCAAAAUGAUUAACCAAAGAUUUAGUUUUUAUCAUAGCUUAUUAGUCUGGUGACGUGUUUGGGUGGUUUGGUUGGGUUACAUGAUUUAUUGCUUUACUUUUUGUUGUUAUUCCUGUUGAAAUUUGUAGUGUGAGAUGCAAAAUCUAUUCCGGUGAUGAAAGCUAGAACUGUUCGUACAACCAUUGAUACCAGUUGUGUGGUUAGUUUUCCAGAUCAUAUUUUUUGAAUCUUGAAAUCAUAAACCCUAGAUACAGCACUAGAUGACUUGUUUAAGGUUUGUUCCUAAAUUCUUACAGAACUGUUUUGGUUAUUCAUCUUUGCUUCACUUGUUUAACAUAAAGAUUAAAGAAUAGAAGCGGUGGAAAUGCAUCUUAGAAUCUUAACAUUGUUGGGUUAAUCUUGAUGUUUCGGGUUGUUCUAGGUCGUGUACGGGUCAAAUCGGUUACCGGUUUUGUUUAAAUGUGUCACCGAAUAGAAAACGGGUCAUGGGUCGGCAUGUUAUCGGGUUACCCGCGCGUUGCGGCGGAGUCAACAAUUUAAGUCAGAAGAAGAGACAUGUCAGAAAAGCAUGCCGUGAUCAGGCCUGUGUGUACCAGAUCAAAAUCGAAGGUGAUUCGAAGGGACGAUCUGUGUGAUCGAGGGAAGAAAAUUUGUUUGGUUCAGCGAUUCGAGUAGAGAAGACUUGUGUGGUGCGGUUGCGGAGAAAACAUUUGUUUGAGAAGCCAAGACCUGCGUUGGGGCUACGUGAUCGUGCAGGUCUUGAAUCUUAUAUCUCUAAAUUGGAAAAUUGGGUGGAUCUGAUGCAGUGAAGGGUUAAAAUAAAUACUUAUUUGGUACAUGCUGGCUUGGCGAGAAUUAAACCAAUCAUAAGUCAAAGAUGUUGUAAUCAUUGUUAUAUAUAUUGCCCCUCAACUACUGUAAGUAUC
Helianthus annuus (common sunflower) is the source of this 1969-nucleotide long non-coding RNA. RefSeq lists it as uncharacterized. Lineage: Eukaryota; Viridiplantae; Streptophyta; Magnoliopsida; Asterales; Asteraceae. The transcript has 5 exons. The record is from RefSeq and is a predicted model, not a curated record.